UGAGAUGAACAUUGGAUACCUUUGGAGAGAAAAGAGGAGAGCCUUCAAACUUUGAUUCCAACACCACCACGUGGUUCCCCUUCGUGAGUUGAGUCUUCCUUGAUGAUUUCAUGAGUUUUUGGUGGUUGAAUCUCCAAAUCGCCUGGGAGGGACGAAGGAGAGAGGAGAGGGAGGAGAGAGAAGCCAGCGGUGAUAAUGAGAUAAGAUGAACCUGUAACUUCUCGGGGUUAAAAGUAAAUACCCGUUAAGUUAUGAGAUUUUCCGGAAAAAGUUCCGGAGAUUCCACAACUUCCGGAAUUUUUCGGAGAUAGUUUCGGAGAUUCUGCAAUUUUUCAAAAUUUCCGAAAAAAAUUCCGGAGAUUCCACUCCCCCUGACUAAGAGCCAUUAGAUUUGAGUGGAAUUUGAUUUGGGAUAGAUUUGAAGGAAUAUGAUAGUAAUAUAUAUAUAUGAGCAUAAGUAAUUCUAUCACUUGAGAUCAGCCAACACACAAUCAAUGAGAAUAAUGAUCCAAGUGAUAGAGCUAAAUUAACUUCAAAUAUUUUCAAAGUAAAACCAUACUUCAAUUUUGAAAAGGAUUUUUUGUUUGAAAGCAAUCUAUCCUAAGUCACUGAAACAUGCACAUGAUUUCAAGCUAUGUUACGAGAAUCCAAGAUAUUUAG
Molecule: long non-coding RNA, 660 nt
Filed under: Setaria viridis
Lineage: Eukaryota; Viridiplantae; Streptophyta; Magnoliopsida; Poales; Poaceae
Description: long non-coding RNA (SVIR_LNC004892)
Source: RNAcentral